Molecule: ribosomal RNA, 403 nt
Filed under: Verrucomicrobiota bacterium
Lineage: Bacteria; Pseudomonadati; Verrucomicrobiota
Description: Verrucomicrobia bacterium partial 16S ribosomal RNA
Rfam family: Bacterial small subunit ribosomal RNA
Source: RNAcentral
UGGGGAAUCUUGCACAAUGGGGGCAACCCUGAUGCAGCGACGCCGCGUGAGCGAUGAAGGUUUUCGAAUCGUAAAGCUCUGUCCUAUGGGAAGAUAAUGACGGUACCAUAGGAGGAAGCCCCGGCUAACUACGUGCCAGCAGCCGCGGUAAUACGUAGGGGGCGAGCGUUGUCCGGAAUUACUGGGCGUAAAGGGUUCGCAGGCGGCAUGGCAAGUCCGAUGUAAAAGGCGAAGGCUCAACCUUCGUAAGCAUCGGAAACUGUCAAGCUUGAGUGAAGGAGAGGGAAGUGGAAUUCCUAGUGUAGCGGUGGAAUGCGUAGAUAUUAGGAGGAAUACCGGUGACGAAGGCGACUUGCUGGACUUCAACUGACGCUGAGGAACGAAAGCGUGGGUAGCAAACAGG